UACCUUUACGGAUUGGGCUCACAACUUAGCCCAUUGUGCCACUAUACUUAUGAAAACAUUAUGGCAGUCCUACCAAUAGUUUAAAACAAAAUUAAAGCUUAACUUAUUACAACUUUUCCCAUCAGAAUACAAUUUUCUUAAGAAAAUCAGAAUUAUUACAUGGUAAUCCUAUUAAAUACAUAAAAUACUAAUCUAAACACUAAACUAUUACAAUCCCCAUAUGACCAAUGAACACUGCCUCUCUUGGACAUUGCUUAUCCAUCAAAGCAGUGCCUCUCAUACGAACAAUACUGGAUUUCAGUACGCUUGAACGGUAGAGUUUUGAGUUUUUUAGCCUUUGGACCUGCUGAUUUGGCCAACUAGUGACCAAAUCUGCAGGUAAACAGCUUACAGCUAGAACAAACAAAGAAAGAAAAGGUUUUGAGUAAAGAGGAGAUUGUCAGAUAGAAGGAAGGGGAGAUAAAGGAAACAUAACCACACACUUCAUUAAUUACCCAAACCUCAAACAUGGGGAUCUAAUCAUAUCAUAUGACCAAUGCAACAGGAAAUCAACAUAUAUAUCAACAACCAAUGCUAGACCCGUACAAGAAAAUCAAUACUCAUAAUAUAAAAACCCAAGGGAACAGGGAUUCACAUAUUUUUAAAAGAACUUCAACACUAUUGUAACUUCAGCAUACAAGUCACAGCAGGAAACAUACAAAUAUACAAACAUUGGCAAAGCAAAGACCAACUUGUAUUCAUCUUAAGUUCUAAUUACAAAUACUUAAACAUGGAGGAAACAUAUGUACCUUGAAACAUCGAUUGGGACAACAGAUAAAAAUGAAAGAACAACUGUUGGAGAACUGCAAAGGCACAGAAAAACAACAGCAGCAAACAACACAGCUACAACUGUCCCCCAAAUGAAUCAAAAUUUCAAACCCAAAAAACCAGCAAACUGAACCCAGGAAUCCCAGCUAAAUAGACCAAGAAAGCUUUCUAUUUCAAACCAUGUUUUUAACUUGUAAAGAAUCAGAAAAUGAGAGGUUUUGAAGUUUUUUUUUAAGAUUUCUGGAAUCUGAACUUUUCAGAAAGAAAAUAGAACUUUUGUGCAGAGAAUAAGGCUGAAUCUGUGUAAUCUCAGAAUGAGAGAACCUACCUAUAUAUAUAGGCUUCGUAGGGAGGGUAUAUCUUGGGUAUAUUCCUUAUCCUAAACUUCUGAAAAUAGUACAAUACAGAUGUCAUUCCUAUCCUAAUUCAGCAUCUUUUGUAACAGCUAGGACAACUAUACAUUUCUGAUUUUUAGCCUAAGUGAAAAUCCAAUUUUACCCUUUAAGUUACUACCUGUUUCAUCUUUACCUAAAAUAUUUUAGUUCAAAUAAGUCCCUAAAGAUUCUAUUGGUUUUCAAACCAAGCCAAACAAAAUCAGAAAGUAUCAAGAAACCAAAUUAUCAUGCUGAAUCAAAAACAUGCUGAUUUAAUUCAAACUUAAAACUAACCAAUUGAUCAAUAAAAACUGCUUAUCUAAUUAACCAUGAAUAAUACUUGACAGAAACAGAGUGAAUAAAUCAUCAAAACCUAAUUUAAUACUUGAACCUAACAUGAAAGAAUAUGGAAACCUAAUUAAUCUAACUCAUGAGAUUCAAGCAUGCUUUCAUCAAUUAAACACCAAACGGAAACAUGGAGAAGAAAAGAGCAAUCAGGUAGUUUAUACCUCUAACAUUAACCCUAAUUAUUCUAAAUCUAAUGCAAUCAAAAUUAAACUGAAAUGUUCAACAUGCUUCAAUUGACACAUAAAACCAAUUCCUAAUAAACUCUAGAUUAACAUGAAAUUAAACCAAAUUAAAAGCUAAUUAAACGAUGUAUUCAUACUAAGCUAUGAUAAAAAAGAUAACUGAAACGACUAAUUAUUCUAUAAGCUAGAUUAAUCCUGAGCUAAACUAAAUCAGCAAACCAAAUGAAACUUGAACAAACAAAUUGAAGUGAUUCCAAAACCAAAAUGAACAAACUAAUGCACCAUAGAACAAAAUUACUAACUAAACACAUCCAAAGAACAAUCAGAUUUACAAAACUGAAAAUCAAACUAUGAAGAACACUAACUCGACAUUUGAAAAACAAAAAAGGAAGGAAGAAAGAAGAAAAUAAAUAGAGAGGUAAAAUGAUUGAUGCCUUACCAUUGGGACUGGAAAAACAAACAACAGAAGCUUAUGAGGUCCGUCUUCGCCUUGACCAACAAAGGUCUUUUACUUCAAGGGAUCCGGCCCUGCAUGGCCUUGACUGGAUCUCCUUGAAAGAAAAGACUUCUGGAAGCCUAAUCUUUGAAGGAAAAGAAAAGCAAAGAAGCUUUGAAAGUUGAAGCAACACCUGGUGCCUUUCUUUGAACUAGACAGACUUGGAAUUGGAUUUGAAAUUGUGGAGCUUUGCGGGGUUAUUUGAAAAAAUCAGUGAGGCAUUAAGGGUGAAGGGAGUGAGGGGACAGUCCGGUGAAGUUUUGGGGUUGAUUUAGGGAGAUUACAGUUUAUGGUAUCGAAAUCUAGAUCUAAAAUUCGAAAGGUUUAACAGGGAUUUGGGGAGAUUAGUUAGGAGAUUCAUAAAGAGGAGGGAAAGGGGAGUCUGGGGUGUUAAUUUGGUAAAUAUUGGAAUACCGGAACCGUCGUGAGGCGAAUUUCGGUGGCUGUUGGCGGCGGAGGCGACGAAAGAACCUGGGACGACUAGAGUUUUCUUUAGGUUUAGGUUAGAGACGAAUGAG
Molecule: long non-coding RNA, 2725 nt
Filed under: Nicotiana tabacum (common tobacco)
Lineage: Eukaryota; Viridiplantae; Streptophyta; Magnoliopsida; Solanales; Solanaceae
Description: long non-coding RNA (NTAB_LNC013543)
Source: RNAcentral